Molecule: ribosomal RNA, 497 nt
Filed under: uncultured bacterium
Lineage: Bacteria
Description: partial 16S ribosomal RNA
Rfam family: Bacterial small subunit ribosomal RNA
Source: RNAcentral
GAUGAACGCUGGCGGCGUGCCUAAUACAUGCAAGUCGAGCGAACAGACGAGGAGCUUGCUCCUCUGACGUUAGCGGCGGACGGGUGAGUAACACGUGGAUAACCUACCUAUAAGACUGGGAUAACUUCGGGAAACCGGAGCUAAUACCGGAUAAUAUAUUGAACCGCAUGGUUCAAUAGUGAAAGACGGUUUUGUUGUCACUUAUAGAUGGAUCCGCGCCGCAUUAGCUAGUUGGUAAGGUAACGGCUUACCAAGGCGACGAUGCGUAGCCGACCUGAGAGGGUGUUCGGCCACACUGGAACUGAGACACGGUCCAGACUCCUACGGGAGGCAGCAGUAGGGAAUCUUCCGCAAUGGGCGAAAGCCUGACGGAGCAACGCCGCGUGAGUGAUGAAGGUCUUCGGAUCGUAAAACUCUGUUAUUAGGGAAGAACAAAUGUGUAAGUAACUAUGCACGUCUUGACGGUACCUAAUCAGAAAGCCACGGCUAACUACGUG